UGAUAAGCCGCAGAAGUUGCCAGUUGC
This 27-nucleotide non-coding RNA is filed under the name Mus musculus (house mouse). Lineage: Eukaryota; Metazoa; Chordata; Mammalia; Rodentia; Muridae. The record is from RNAcentral.